UCCGAGUUGACCCCGGCAGUCUCCUGAGAGUGCCCGGCAUUACCCGGUAGCAACACAGGACAAGGGUUGCGCUCGUUGCGGGACUUAACCCAACAUCUCACGAUACGAGCUGACGACAGCCAUGCACCACCUGUGUCCGCGCCCCUUGCGGGGACCACCCAUCUCUGGGCUUAGCACGGGAUGUCAAGGCCUGGUAAGGUUCUGCGCGUUGCGUCGAAUUAAACCACAUGCUCCACCGCUUAUGCGGGCCCCCGUCAAUUCCUUUGAGUUUCAGCCUUGCGGCCGUACUCCCCAGGCGGGGUACUUCCUGCGUUAGCGCCGGCACCCAAGGGGUCGCUCCCCCAGGCACCUAGUACCCAUCGUUUACGGCGUGGACUAC
Molecule: unclassified non-coding RNA, 379 nt
Filed under: uncultured bacterium
Lineage: Bacteria
Description: contains 16S-23S intergenic spacer region
Source: RNAcentral